Molecule: ribosomal RNA, 253 nt
Filed under: uncultured bacterium
Lineage: Bacteria
Description: partial 16S ribosomal RNA
Rfam family: Bacterial small subunit ribosomal RNA
Source: RNAcentral
UACAGGGGGUGCAAACGUUGCUCGGAAUUAUUGGGCGUAAAGCGCUCGCAGGUGGUUCAUUGCGUCGUGCGUGAAAGACCCCGGCUCAACUGGGGAGGGUCGUGCGAAACGGGUGAACUAGAGGCCAGUAGGGGGAUGCGGAAUUCCGGGUGUAGUGGUGGAAUGCGUAGAGAUCCGGAGGAACACCAGCGGCGAAGGCGGCAUCCUGGACUGGUCCUGACACUCAGGAGCGAAAGCGUGGGGAGCGAUCCGG